RNAcentral lists this ribosomal RNA (245 nucleotides) under uncultured bacterium. RNAcentral describes it as "partial 16S ribosomal RNA". It matches the Rfam family "Bacterial small subunit ribosomal RNA", at positions 88 to 334 of the family's 1533-position model. The record is from RNAcentral.
CUGGCGACCGGCGCACGGGUGAGUAACGCGUAUCCAACCUGCCGAUAACUCGGGGAUAGCCUUUCGAAAGAAAGAUUAAUACCCGAUGGCAUAAUUAGACCGCAUGGUUUGAUUAUUAAAGAAUUUCGGUUAUCGAUGGGGAUGCGUUCCAUUAGGCAGUUGGUGAGGUAACGGCUCACCAAACCUUCGAUGGAUAGGGGUUCUGAGAGGAAGGUCCCCCACAUUGGAACUGAGACACGGUCCAA